Molecule: long non-coding RNA, 686 nt
Filed under: Malus domestica (apple)
Lineage: Eukaryota; Viridiplantae; Streptophyta; Magnoliopsida; Rosales; Rosaceae
Description: long non-coding RNA (MDOM_LNC015138)
Source: RNAcentral
UGGACGUAGCCCAAACCUUGGGGUGAACCACAAUACAUCUUGUGUUAUUUACAUUUCUUGCAUAUUCGUGGUCGGAUUUACGUUGUUUCAAGAUUUCCUGUUUUGUGCAUCAACAUAUUUUAAAUCAAUAAAUAAUGAAAAUGAAAAACAUAAUUUGACCUAAAAAAAAUUGAAAACAAAACAACAUUUAUCUUUUAAGUAUUACAUACCCCAAAAUAAGAGUCUAAUGAAAAAACUUUAGUACAUUACUACAAAUUAGUGUUCUAAAACGCGGUCUAGGCGGCGCUUAGGUGCUAGGCGGCAGUGCUCCGCAGCGAUUAACUAGAAAUCGUUCACUAAAUCGGCAAGGACAUUAAGCAGUAUAAGGCGGCUGCCUGGGCGGGCUCGGUAGACGCUGGGCGGCCUGGAAAAGAAACUUCAGUCGUGAGACUCACAACCUUCUUGUCUCCCCGAGUCUCGCCGUCUACCUCUCUGUUUGCUAGAAGAGAAGUCGAAUAUCUGUGGUGGUGCAAGUUGGAUUUGAGAUCCAAUUUUGAGGUUCUGAAAAGGCGAAGAAGAAGAUGAGGGAAGAGAGUGAGAGCGAGAGAGAGAGAGAGAUCUGAAAGGGUGAAGAAGAAGAUGAGGGAAGAGAGUGAGAGAGAGAGAGAGAUUGAAAAAAACCAAUUUUGAGGUUCUGAAAGGACCGG